This 274-nucleotide ribosomal RNA is filed under the name uncultured Streptococcus sp. Its description in RNAcentral is "partial 16S ribosomal RNA". It matches the Rfam family "Bacterial small subunit ribosomal RNA", at positions 1106 to 1382 of the family's 1533-position model. Lineage: Bacteria; Bacillati; Bacillota; Bacilli; Lactobacillales; Streptococcaceae. The record is from RNAcentral.
AUUGUUAGUUGCCAUCAUUCAGUUGGGCACUCUAGCGAGACUGCCGGUAAUAAACCGGAGGAAGUGGGAUGACGUCAAAUCAUCAUGCCCCUUAUGACCUGGGCUACACACGUGCUACAAUGGUUGGUACAACGAGUUGCGAGUCGGUGACGGCGAGCUAAUCUCUUAAAGCUAAUCUCAGUUCGGAUUGUAGGCUGCAACUCGCCUACAUGAAGUCGGAAUCGCUAGUAAUCCGCGGACUCAGCACGCCGCGGUGAAUACGUUCCCGGGCCUU